GUAGGUGGCAAGCGUUGUCCGGAAUUAUUGGGCGUAAAGCGCGCGCAGGCGGUUCUUUAAGUCUGAUGUGAAAGCCACGGCUCAACCGUGGAGGGUCAUUGGAAACUGGAGAACUUGAGUACAGAAGAGGAAAGCGGAAUUCCACGUGUAGCGGUGAAAUGCGUAGAGAUGUGGAGGAACACCAGUGGCGAAGGCGGCUUUCUGGUCUGUAACUGACGCUGAGGCGCGAAAGCGUGGGGAGCAAACAGGGAUUAGAUACCCUGGUAGUCCACGCCGUAAACGAUGAGUGCUAAGUGUUAGGGGGUUUCCGCCCCCUUAGUGCUGCAGCUAACGCAUUAAGCACUCCGCCUGGGGAGUACGACCGCAAGGUUG
RNAcentral lists this ribosomal RNA (372 nucleotides) under uncultured organism. Its description in RNAcentral is "partial 16S ribosomal RNA". It matches the Rfam family "Bacterial small subunit ribosomal RNA", at positions 527 to 896 of the family's 1533-position model. The record is from RNAcentral.